AGACAUCUGUUCCUCGGAUGUGAUCUUUCGUAUCACAUUCGAUUUCAGAAUGUCUUAAAUUAAGUGGGCUGCUUCACCCAGAAUUGUAUUAUAUGUUUACACUGUUUGGUUUUUGCGGGCCCAAACAAAU
Molecule: small nucleolar RNA, 130 nt
Organism: Hylaeus volcanicus
Lineage: Eukaryota; Metazoa; Arthropoda; Insecta; Hymenoptera; Colletidae
Product: small nucleolar RNA SNORA79
Exons: 1
Source: RefSeq, a predicted model, not a curated record